GGGUGGUUUGAUGUCUCGAUACUGUAGGGGCCGACUCCGGUUCGGGGUUGAUCCUGUC
Synechococcus sp. CC9605 is the source of this 58-nucleotide non-coding RNA. Lineage: Bacteria; Bacillati; Cyanobacteriota; Cyanophyceae; Synechococcales; Synechococcaceae. The record is from Rfam.